UACGUAGGGCGCAAGCGUUGUCCGGAAUUAUUGGGCGUAAAGAGCUCGUAGGCGGUCUGUCGCGUCUGGUGUGAAAUCCCGAGGCUCAACCUCGGGCUUGCAUCGGGUACGGGCAGACUAGAGUGCGGUAGGGGAGACUGGAAUUCCUGGUGUAGCGGUGGAAUGCGCAGAUAUCAGGAGGAACACCGAUGGCGAAGGCAGGUCUCUGGGCCGCAACUGACGCUGAGGAGCGAAAGCAUGGGGAGCGAACAGGAUUAGAUACCCUGGUAGUCCAUGCCGUAAACGUUGGGCACUAGGUGUGGGGCUCAUUCCACGAGUUCCGUGCCGCAGCUAACGCAUUAAGUGCCCCGCCUGGGGAGUACGGCCGCAAGGCUAAA
This 377-nucleotide ribosomal RNA is filed under the name uncultured bacterium. RNAcentral's name for it is "bacterial SSU rRNA". It matches the Rfam family "Bacterial small subunit ribosomal RNA", at positions 524 to 898 of the family's 1533-position model. The record is from RNAcentral.